GCAAGUCGAGCGGACAGAUGGGAGCUUGCUCCCUGAUGUUAGCGGCGGACGGGUGAGUAACACGUGGGUAACCUGCCUGUAAGACUGGGAUAACUCCGGGAAACCGGGGCUAAUACCGGAUGGUUGUCUGAACCGCAUGGUUCAGACAUAAAAGGUGGCUUCGGCUACCACUUACAGAUGGACCCGCGGCGCAUUAGCUAGUUGGUGAGGUAACGGCUCACCAAGGCGACGAUGCGUAGCCGACCUGAGAGGGUGAUCGGCCACACUGGGACUGAGACACGGCCCAGACUCCUACGGGAGGCAGCAGUAGGGAAUCUUCCGCAAUGGACGAAAGUCUGACGGAGCAACGCCGCGUGAGUGAUGAAGGUUUUCGGAUCGUAAAGCUCUGUUGUUAGGGAAGAACAAGUGCCGUUCAAAUAGGGCGGCACCUUGACGGUACCUAACCAGAAAGCCACGGCUAACUACGUGCCAGCAGCCGCGGUAAUACGUAGGUGGCAAGCGUUGUCCGGAAUUAUUGGGCGUAAAGGGCUCGCAGGCGGUUUCUUAAGUCUGAUGUGAAAGCCCCCGGCUCAACCGGGGAGGGUCAUUGGAAACUGGGGAACUUGAGUGCAGAAGAGGAGAGUGGAAUUCCACGUGUAGCGGUGAAAUGCGUAGAGAUGUGGAGGAACACCAGUGGCGAAGGCGACUCUCUGGUCUGUAACUGACGCUGAGGAGCGAAAGCGUGGGGAGCGAACAGGAUUAUAUACCCUGGUAGUCCACGCCGUAAACGAUGAGUGCUAAGUGUUAGGGGGUUUCCGCCCCUUAGUGCUGCAGCUAACGCAUUAAUCACUCCGCCUGGCGGAGUACGGACGCAAGACUGAAACUCAAAGGAAUAGACAGGGGCCCGGCACACCGGUGCAGCAUGUGGUUUAAUUCUAAGCAACGCGAACAACCAUAACCAGGUCUUGGCAUCCUCUGACAAUCCUAAGAGAUAUGAAGGUCCCCCUUCCGGCGGAGAGGGAC
Molecule: ribosomal RNA, 1002 nt
Filed under: Bacillus amyloliquefaciens
Lineage: Bacteria; Bacillati; Bacillota; Bacilli; Caryophanales; Bacillaceae
Description: bacterial SSU rRNA
Rfam family: Bacterial small subunit ribosomal RNA
Source: RNAcentral